ACGACAGAUGUAGACAUGGCACUGUCUGGAAUGAUAACAUUUGGGUUGCUAGUAGUCUUAAUAGAUUGUUUAAAUGGACAAAUUACGCACCCUGAUCCUGUGAUAAUUAAGGCAAGUGGUAGAGCAGCUCGAAUCCAAUGCAAAGUGGAUUCAUCGACCCUUCAGUCCAGCGUUCUCCACUGGUACAGAGCUCCACCAAAGGGAGCUCUCCAACGAUUAAUGUAUUUCGAAGCUGGUUCGUCAAAGGCCAAAAAAGACCCCGACACCCCCCGUAGAUUUUCUGGGUCGGUGAAUGGUGAUCUAGUGGCACUGACUAUCUCAAAACUGGAGCUCAGCGAUGCCGGCUCGUAUUACUGCGCGCUCUGGAGUGGAGACAACACAGUGCUAUCUAUGAGAGGAAAUCAUUACAAAAACCUGCUUUCAUCAUCAAAGCGCUUUUAUUUGGAACAGCAGCAAGGAGGAGACAUUAGACAUAUUUUUAUUGUGAUGUUGCUUUUUGUUGUCAAGAUUUAAUUAAAGAAUUAGGUUAAAUGUUCCAAAAGUGUAUUGUCUCAGAAGA
Molecule: non-coding RNA, 559 nt
Organism: Sinocyclocheilus anshuiensis
Lineage: Eukaryota; Metazoa; Chordata; Actinopteri; Cypriniformes; Cyprinidae
Source: the annotation of a RefSeq genome assembly